Molecule: unclassified non-coding RNA, 301 nt
Filed under: Hevea brasiliensis (rubber tree)
Lineage: Eukaryota; Viridiplantae; Streptophyta; Magnoliopsida; Malpighiales; Euphorbiaceae
Source: RNAcentral
UUUAGUCGUGGAUUGUGGAGGAGGAAUUAUUUAGGGUUUGUGAGAUGGGCAUGUGAAUUCUAGGAUUGACGAGAGAUAGAGAGGGACAGAAGAGGGGGAUAUGGAUGACAGAGGUGGGUCGUUUGUUGCUGUCAGGAGGAUAUCUCAAGGUCUCGAACGAGGUAGCAACACCUGCCAUUCAACGUCUGCUGAGGUUGUAGCAGGAUCAGCAGCAUGGCUUGGUCGUGGUCUUUCUUGUGUGUGUGCACAGAGACGAGAGAAUGAUGCUCGCCCUUCAUUUGAUUUAACCCCUGCCCAGGAG